UUUUUUUUCCUCUGCUAAGGAUUGAACCUAGGGCCUAGCACAUGCUAGGCAAGUGCUCCAGUACUGAGCUGCAUCUCCAGCCCUUUUUAUUUUAUUUCCAGACAGUCUGGGUAAAUCGCCCAGGCUGGCUUUGAACUCAAGGUCCCCUGUUGCAGAUUCCGCAGAUUCCCACAGACUCCGGAGUUACUGGGAUUAAUCCUUUGUUAAGGGAGAAGGAUGUUGGAUCUACAGGUGUAACUGGAGGUUGGGAAGCAGCUGGGCUUUGCAGGAGGCCCUGAUCUUUAGCAAUGCAAAUUGUGAUUCCUCAGGUGGCCAACAGAGGGGCACCAGGAAUUGGUAAUGGCUGCUGAACUUUUAAGUUCUGGGGUUCCCAGCUUGCCUGGGGUGUGCUUUUGAUGUUGGACUCCUUUGCCCCCUCCUAGAUUUAGGUGCUCUGUAGUUGCUCCCAGUGGGUUAUUCACUCCUAGUUCUGGAGUAGAUGGUCAUGUCGUGAAUCAUCUCUUUCCCCUUUGUGCUCAGCAGUAUGCCAGUGUCAAAGGGAUUAAUAAAUACUUGAUUUUGUUUGGUACUAGAUAUUGAACCCAGGGGUGCUUUACCACAGAGCUGCAUUUCAGCCUUUUUUAUAUUUUGCAGGGACCAGGGAUUAAACCCAGGGGUACUUAACCACCGAGUAACUCCAGCCCUUUUUCUUAUUUUGACACAGGUUCUUGCUAAGUUGCUUAGGGCCUAAGUUGCAAGUCUGGCCUUGAACUUUCAGUCCUCCUGCUGUAGCCUUCUGAGUUGCUGGGAUUACAGACAUGCCAGUGCUCUCUGCUUUAGUUUUUUGAAACAGGGUCUAAAUUGCUUAGGACCUCGCUAAGUUGGUGAGGCUAGUCUCGAACUUUGGAUCUACUGCCUGAGCCUCCCAAUGCUAAAUACUUGUUGAAUCAGCUCAGGAAGACCCAGAUUUAUGACAUACAGCAAACUAGUAUUGACACAGUACAUAUACAUAGUAUUGACAUACUACAUACAAUAGAUGGGAUGUAUAGCUCUUGAGCGAUAUCCCCAGCUCUUUUUUAUUUUGAGAUAUGUUGUCGAUAAAUUUCUUUUUUUUAAUAUAUAUUUUUUAGUUAUACAUGGACAUAAUAUCUUUAUUUUGUUUGUUUAUUUUUAUGUGGUGCUGAGGCUUGAAAUCAGUACCUCACAUGUGAGGGGCAAGCACUCUGCUACUGAGCCACACUCCAGCCCCUGUUGUCGAUAAAUUUCUGAGGCUGGCUUUAAACUUUAUUCUCCUACCUCCUUAGCUGCUGGGAUUAUAGGCAUGGGCCACCAUAUCUGGCUCAUGGAUGCUUUUAAAGCCUCAUGAUCUACUGGCUGAGCUAGCUGGCCAUCUUUAGAGCUGCUUUCAAAUACAGAUUUUUAGAAGACCCAAAUUGGUGUGAACAUACUUUAUGUACAACCAGAGAUAUGAAAAAUUGUGCUGUAUAUGUGUAAUAAGAAUUGUAAUGCAUUCUGCUGUCAUUUAUUAAAAAAAAAACAAUAAAAACAGAUUUUUAGGCCCCUUCUCUAGAGA
RNAcentral lists this long non-coding RNA (1552 nucleotides) under Marmota monax (woodchuck). Lineage: Eukaryota; Metazoa; Chordata; Mammalia; Rodentia; Sciuridae. The record is from RNAcentral.